CAAGUGAAAGAUGUCUUCUUUCCAUGGUACAAUGCAUUUGUACCUACUGACCAAGUCACUCUUUACACAUCAUCCAAGUUCACUUUCUAUGUCAACAGAAGCUGAGUUUUGGUCAAUGAGCAAGAAUUUGCUUGAUGUUGAUGCCCAUAGAACAUCAAAGCUACGUGUGGGUUCCAAAAGUGCUAGGCUUGUUGAUCUAAGGCCAUUGACUAAUAGUUGGGGUUGAAGAAUCAUAACACAUCAUCCCAUAUGUAUGCCUCGUGUCCGACUGCAGCUAUCUACAGGCAAGGUUCCUGUACAUAUAGCCGGCUUGGGCAUUUCUCCAUUUGUUUUCUUUUGUAGCCACUUGUAGUUUAGUGUAUGGGGUUCCAAAGAUGUAUGUUCCAAGACCAUGAAUACAGUCAACUCUCCUUCAAUGAUUGUGCUUCUGUAAUGGAUAC
This is a long non-coding RNA of Magnolia sinica, 440 nucleotides long. RefSeq lists it as uncharacterized. The transcript has 3 exons. Lineage: Eukaryota; Viridiplantae; Streptophyta; Magnoliopsida; Magnoliales; Magnoliaceae. The record is from RefSeq and is a predicted model, not a curated record.